AACCAACAGACAGAAAGACACCAAAUUGACAAACUAAGAAUAAAAAAUUGACAAGACGGAUGUGCUUAACACGAAGUUUUCCCUAAGCAUGCAAUCCUAGGUUAACUGAUAUUAAUAUUGACUCAACAAAAACAAUUCAAAGCAAGCAAACAAAAUAGACACUUAAAACAGCAAGUAUUAAGUACAACUGUUUUGUGAAAAUACUACCCAAAUUUGCCCUAAACCUACC
This 229-nucleotide long non-coding RNA is filed under the name Manihot esculenta (cassava). RNAcentral's name for it is "long non-coding RNA (MESC_LNC009638)". The record is from RNAcentral. Lineage: Eukaryota; Viridiplantae; Streptophyta; Magnoliopsida; Malpighiales; Euphorbiaceae.